RNAcentral lists this unclassified non-coding RNA (173 nucleotides) under uncultured Xylariales. RNAcentral's name for it is "sequence contains ITS1". The record is from RNAcentral. Lineage: Eukaryota; Fungi; Ascomycota; Sordariomycetes; Xylariales.
AAGAGUGUAAUAACUCCCACACCCAUGUGAACAUACCUCAUGUUGCCUCGGCAGGUCGCCCCUCCCCGUAGGCCCUACCCUGUAGGCCCUACCCGAAGGCGCGGGUACCCCUGCCGGCGGCCCACGAAACUCUGUCUCAUCGUUGAAUUCUGAACCUAUAACUAAAUAAGUUA